This is a non-coding RNA of Arachis ipaensis, 514 nucleotides long. The record is from RefSeq and is a predicted model, not a curated record. Lineage: Eukaryota; Viridiplantae; Streptophyta; Magnoliopsida; Fabales; Fabaceae.
GACCAAUCUUUUAUAAAGCAUAACCAUUAAAAGCACAACAAAAAUAAAAUUUUCAUAUCAAAUUAAACAUCAUGAAAAUCCUUUUCUAUUUCUCCAUCCUCUUACUUUCUCUUUCCGUUAGUUUUGGAAAUAACCCAUUGCGAAAUGUAACACCACCAACCAAAUUUUGUCUUGCACCAGUAGGCACCAGUUAUUGUCUUCCACCUUCAAAACCAGAUGCAUGCAAUGAAAGGUGCAAAUUUUUUCUUGGUAAAUCAGAUGUCAAAGGACUAUGUGAUAAAUUAACAAAAGAAUGCGUUUGUAUUUAUUCACCACCAUGUAAGCAGUGACAGGAGUAUGUGAUCGAGCAGUCACAUACAUAGUUCACCUUUUUCUUUGUGGGAGUAUAUGUAUUCUCCUUCUACUAAGUAAAAUAAUGGUAAACCAAAUAAGACAUCAAGCAAAUAAAUAAAGUGCAUGAUUGUACUGUUAUUUUCUAUUUAUCAAAUAAUAAUAAAAUAGUGGUUCUAUAUUA